This 253-nucleotide ribosomal RNA is filed under the name uncultured bacterium. Its description in RNAcentral is "partial 16S ribosomal RNA". It matches the Rfam family "Bacterial small subunit ribosomal RNA", at positions 793 to 1055 of the family's 1533-position model. The record is from RNAcentral.
GUCCACGCCUUAACGUUGAAUACUCGAUGUGUGCGAUAUACAGUACGCGUCUAAGCGAAAGUGAUAAGUAUUCCACCUGGGAGUACGCUCGCAAGAGUGAACUCAAAGGAAUUGACGGGGCCCGCACAAGCGGAGGAGCAUGUGGUUUAAUUCGAUGAUACGCGAGGAACCUUACCUGGGCUUGAAAGUUAGUGACCGACUGUGAAAGCAGUUUUCCGCAAGGACACGAAACUAGGUGCUGCAUGGCUGUCGU